Molecule: ribosomal RNA, 460 nt
Filed under: uncultured bacterium
Lineage: Bacteria
Description: partial 16S ribosomal RNA
Rfam family: Bacterial small subunit ribosomal RNA
Source: RNAcentral
CCUACGGGGAGCAGCAGUGAGGAAUAUUGGUCAAUGGACGAGAGUCUGAUCCAGCCAAGUAGCGUGAAGGAUGACUGACCUCUGGGUUGUAAACUUCUUUUAUAUGGGAAUACAACAGGGUAUGCAUACUCUCUUGUAUGUACCAUAUGCAUAAGGGCAGGCUAACUACGUGCCAGCAGCCGAGGUAAUUCGGAGGAUCCGAGCGUUAUCCGGAUGUAUUGGGUUUAAAGGGAGCGUAGGUGGAUUGUUAAGUCAGGUGUGAAAGGGUGCGGCUCAAACGUAAAAUUGCAGUUGCAACUGGCAGUCUUGAGUGCAGUAGAGGUGGGCGGAAUUCGUGGUGUAGCGGUGAAAUGCGUAGAUAUCACGAAGAACUCCGAUGGCGAAGGCAGCUUACUGGACUGCAACUGACACUGAUGCUCGAAAGUGUGGGGAGCAAACAGGAUUAGAUACCCUUGUAGUC